This 973-nucleotide long non-coding RNA is filed under the name Homo sapiens (human). RNAcentral describes it as "HSALNT0078392". Lineage: Eukaryota; Metazoa; Chordata; Mammalia; Primates; Hominidae. The record is from RNAcentral.
UUUCUCUGUUUUGAAUUCUCAUGAUGUUGACAUUAAAAUACUGAAUGCUACAUUAUGACGAGACCUUCAGUUGUCCUGAUUUGCAUUCGUGACAUGUAUUUCACAUCUAUUUCUCGUGUCAGACAAGAGAAAACUGCAUAGAUUUUUCUCUCCCAGUUCCUUUACCUUUCUUUAAUCAGUUCCUGUGAUUCUAUGUACAGAGAGAUUUUGAAACUUAUGUAUGAUAUAUUGGGGAUUGGCUAUAUUAGGUAAAGUAGCACUCUUGCAUUGUUUUUAAAUUGAGUGUAAUCUAGGAACUUGUCCAUUGUUUAAAAUUAUACUAUAUUGCCAUGAAGGAUGCUCAUAACUCCAUUCUGCUUUACUCUGUAAGGCGUGUGGGGCUGAGGUCUUUCAGGGAUGUACUAUGCUUACUGCCUGGGCUAUUAAUUGAUCCUGGCUCACCUCAUGAUGGAGGAUAAAAAAUUUUCUAACUGUGGAUAAGAAAUGCCUACCAAGAAGCUGUUUUUUGGCUUUGUUCAUUGCCAAGGAAAUAAUGAAGAUAAGAACACUGUGGUGUCUUGUCUUUACCACCUUUCCUUCAUCUACAAAAUAAGAGUUUAAUGAGUCUCCUAGUCCUAAAACCAAAUUUGAAAUGGACUUCUAUUGCAGCUGGAGGGAUUUGGUUAGCUAUGAGGAAGAAUUUCCUGACUCUGAGGAUGUCAAAUUGCAUGAAUGGUUUUAUAGCCACAUUCUCAACAGACCGUUAAAAGUUUUUUUUUUAAAAUCUCUUCCAGAUACCUGAAGGCAGAGGGCGACCCUUUGACGUCUCAGGGCCAUAUAUCAGUUCCCUAACAGUGAAGCCCACAACAAGCAAGAAUUUCUGACAUGACAUGGGAAAAGCUGAAGAAGUCAGUCUUUGGGGUGUGUUUUCAUCUAGGAGGUGGCUUGAGAUGGAUUCAUGGCAAAUCACAAUAAAUUAUUUAUCAGAUAAUAA